This 351-nucleotide ribosomal RNA is filed under the name uncultured bacterium. RNAcentral describes it as "bacterial SSU rRNA". It matches the Rfam family "Bacterial small subunit ribosomal RNA", at positions 72 to 423 of the family's 1533-position model. The record is from RNAcentral.
UAUUUUAGCAAUAGAAUAUGAGAGUGACGUACGGGUGCGUAACACGUAUGCAACCUACCCUUUACAGGCGGAUAGCUCGGGGAAACUCGAAUUAACCCGUCAUAAGAUCAUAGAGUGGCAUCACUUAGUGAUUAAAAUUACGGUGGUAAAGGAUGGGCAUGCGUCUGAUUAGUUAGUUGGCGGUGUAAUGGACCACCAAGACGAUGAUCAGUAGGGGAACUGAGAGGUUGAUCCCCCACACUGGCACUGAGAUACGGGCCAGACUCCUACGGGAGGCAGCAGUAGGGAAUAUUGGUCAAUGGAUGGAAGUCUGAACCAGCCAUGCCGCGUGCAGGAAGAAGGCCUUCUGGG